This 469-nucleotide ribosomal RNA is filed under the name Limnohabitans sp. Its description in RNAcentral is "bacterial SSU rRNA". It matches the Rfam family "Bacterial small subunit ribosomal RNA", at positions 391 to 853 of the family's 1533-position model. The record is from RNAcentral. Lineage: Bacteria; Pseudomonadati; Pseudomonadota; Betaproteobacteria; Burkholderiales; Comamonadaceae.
GCCNUUCCGCGUGCAGGACGAAGGCCUUCGGGUUGUAAACUGCUUUUGUACGGAACGAAAAGGUCUCUAUUAAUACUAGGGGCUCAUGACGGUACCGUAAGAAUAAGCACCGGCUAACUACGUGCCAGCAGCCGCGGUAAUACGUAGGGUGCAAGCGUUAAUCGGAAUUACUGGGCGUAAAGCGUGCGCAGGCGGUUAUAUAAGACAGAUGUGAAAUCCCCGGGCUCAACCUGGGAACUGCAUUUGUGACUGUAUAGCUGGAGUGCGGCAGAGGGGGAUGGAAUUCCGCGUGUAGCAGUGAAAUGCGUAGAUAUGCGGAGGAACACCGAUGGCGAAGGCAAUCCCCUGGGCCUGCACUGACGCUCAUGCACGAAAGCGUGGGGAGCAAACAGGAUUAGAUACCCUGGUAGUCCACGCCCUAAACGAUGUCAACUGGUUGUUGGGUCUUCACUGACUCAGUAACGAAGCU